This 320-nucleotide ribosomal RNA is filed under the name uncultured eukaryote. RNAcentral describes it as "partial 18S ribosomal RNA". It matches the Rfam family "Eukaryotic small subunit ribosomal RNA", at positions 1470 to 1796 of the family's 1831-position model. The record is from RNAcentral.
CCCCUAGAUGUUCUGGGCCGCACGCGCGCUACACUGAACAGUUCAACAAGUCUUAACCUUGGCCGAUAGGUCUGGGUAAUCUUUGAACGCUGUUCGUGAUUGGGAUAGACCUUUGCAAUUAUGGGUCUUCAACGAGGAAUUACUAGUAAACGCAAGUCAUCAGCUUGCAUUGAUUACGUCCCUGCCCUUUGUACACACCGCCCGUCGCACCUACCGAUUGAAUGGUCCGGUGAAAUCUCGGGACGGCGGCUUGGUCGCUUGCGUCCGACUGCUGAAACUUGAUUAAACCAUAUCAUUUAGAGGAAGGUGAANUCGUAACA